Molecule: ribosomal RNA, 476 nt
Filed under: uncultured bacterium
Lineage: Bacteria
Description: bacterial SSU rRNA
Rfam family: Bacterial small subunit ribosomal RNA
Source: RNAcentral
AGAUUGAACGCUGGCGGAAUGCUUACACAUGCAAGUCGAACGGUAGAGGGGCAACCCUUGAGAGUGGCGAACGGGUGAGUAAUAUAUCGGAACGUGCCCAGUCGUGGGGAUAACGUAGCGAAAGUUACGCUAAUACCGCAUACGAUCUAAGGAUGAAAGCGGGGGAUCGCAAGACCUCGCGCGAUUGGAGCGGCCGAUAUCAGAUUAGGUAGUUGGUGAGGUAAAGGCUCACCAAGCCAACGAUCUGUAGCUGGUCUGAGAGGACGACCAGCCACACUGGAACUGAGACACGGUCCAGACUCCUACGGGAGGCAGCAGUGGGAAUUUUGGACAAUGGACGCAAGUCUGAUCCAGCCAUUCCGCGUGCAGGAUGAAGGCCCUCGGGUUGUAAACUGCUUUGUACGGAACGAAAAGGUUUCUAUUAAUACUAGGAGCUCAUGACGGUACCGUAAGAAUAAGCACCGGCUAACUACGUG